CAGCAGCCGCGGGAAUACAGAGGGUGCAAGCGUUAAUCGGAAUUACUGGGCGUAAAGCGCGCGUAGGUGGUUUGUUAAGUUGGAUGUGAAAUCCCCGGGCUCAACCUGGGAACUGCAUCCAAAACUGGCAAGCUAUAGUAUGGUAGAGGGUGGUGGAAUUUCCUGUGUAGCGGUGAAAUGCGUAGAUAUAGGAAGGAACACCAGUGGCGAAGGCGACCACCUGGACUGAUACUGACACUGAGGUGCGAAAGCGUGGGGAGCAAACAGGAUUAGAUACCCCAGUAGUCCCUGUCUCUUAUAC
RNAcentral lists this ribosomal RNA (301 nucleotides) under uncultured bacterium. RNAcentral's name for it is "partial 16S ribosomal RNA". It matches the Rfam family "Bacterial small subunit ribosomal RNA", at positions 509 to 807 of the family's 1533-position model. The record is from RNAcentral.